GGAACCCAAAUCUCAACUAACACAAACAAGAUGAUAACUGUUGAAGAAGCACUUGAGAUUGUGCUAAAUGUGGCUCAGCGUUUGCCGCCUGUGACUUUGCCUAUUCAUGAGGUUUUAGGCAAAGUUUUGGCUGAGGAUAUCACUGCGCCUGACCCUCUUCCUCCAUAUCCGGCAUCUAUAAAGGACGGGUAUGCUGUUGUUGCCGCUGAUGGACCUGGUGAAUAUCCUGUAAUUACUGAAUCAAGAGCAGGAAAUGAUGCACUUGGUGUGACGGUUACUCCUGGGACUGUUGCAUAUGUAACUACUGGAGGUCCAGUGCCUGAUGGUGCUGAUGCUGUUGUUCAAGUAGAGGACACUGAAUCAAUUUCAGUUGCUUCAGCUGAACGGAAGCGAGUGCGAAUAUUGAAGCAAACUAGCCCUGGAGUUGAUAUUCGUGCAGUGGGUUCUGACAUUGCACAGGGUACUAUCGUACUGAAAUCUGGAGAGCGAUUAGGUGCUGCAGAAAUUGGUCUACUCGCUACAGUAGGUGUUGUCGCAGUGAAGGUGUAUCCCUGUCCAACAAUUGGUGUCUUGUCAACAGGGGAUGAGCUUGUAGAACCAACAGUUGGGAGUUUAAAUCGUGGUCAGAUCAGGGACUCCAACCGUGCAAUGAUCCUAACUGCUGCAACACAGCAUCAGUGCAAAGUUAUUGAUCUUGGUAUAGCUCGUGAUGAUGAGCAGGAGAUUGAGAGGAUAUUAGACAAUGCAUUUGCUUCUGGAAUUGACAUCCUUCUCUCCUCUGGAGGUGUUUCCAUGGGAGACCGGGAUUUUGUGAAGCCUUUACUUCAAAAGAAAGGGAGAGUAUUAUUUCAGAAGGUUCUCAUGAAACCAGGAAAGCCUCUCACAUUUGCUGAGAUCCUUCCCGGAUCAUCUGACAGGACUUCCAGUAAGAUUCUUGCAUUUGGGCUACCUGGAAAUCCUGUGAGCUGUUUGGUCUGUUUCCAUCUCUUUGUGGUUCCAGCCAUUAAGCACCUCUCUGGGUGGGCAAACCCACAUCUUCCAAGAGUGCAAGCUCGUCUAAAGCAUUCAGUAAAGACAGAUCCUCACCGUUUAGAAUUCCAUCGAGCUGUUAUCUCCUGGCAGUUGAAUGAUGGGUCGGGUUAUCAAGGGUUCAUAGCUGAGAGUACAGGCCAUCAAAUUAGUAGUCGACUUCUGAGUAUGAAGUCAGCCAAUGCUUUGUUAGAGCUUCCAGCUUCAGAAACUUCAGUACCUGCUGGUGCUUCAGUGUCUGCAAUUCUAAUUUCUGAUAUAAGCAAUUUCCCUGGGACCAGGAACCUGCAAUUGACAGACUUAAGUAGCACCCAACAAGAACAUAAGCUAGCAGCUGCAGAUGCUGGCAGUUCUGAAGCAUCUGAAUUCAAGGUAGCUAUUCUUACAGUAAGUGAUACUGUUGCCACAGGAUUGGGACCUGAUCGCAGUGGUCCAAGGGCA
This 1470-nucleotide unclassified non-coding RNA is filed under the name Hevea brasiliensis (rubber tree). Lineage: Eukaryota; Viridiplantae; Streptophyta; Magnoliopsida; Malpighiales; Euphorbiaceae. The record is from RNAcentral.